AUUUUUGGGGCGAACGUCCGUGAGAAAAAUUUGAAACGAUGGUGAGCUCUCAAAAUUUCCCUCUCUAGGGUUUUGGAAGAGGGUUCACCGUUUCGCACUCCCAAAUCAAGUUUAUGAACUGAACCAGUUUCAAGUAAGUGAAGUGGCUUAUCACUCCCACGAAGCAAUUGCAGAAUCAAAAUGGCGUUUUCUCUCUUUUCAACUCCACAACCGCAGCAGCCUCAGCAGUUAUUUCAAUCACAACCGCAACUUUUUCAGCAGAGCAGCCCGUUGUUCUCGCAGCAGCAACCCCAGCAAUUUCAACUGCAACAGCAGCAGCAGCAGCAGCAGCAACAACAACAACAGCAACAGCAGCAGCAGCAGCAGCAGUUAAUGCAGCAACAGCAACAGCAACAGCAGCAGUUGUUCAUUUUUACUAAUGAUAAGGCUCCUGCAAGUUAUGGUACUAAGUGGGCAGAUCUCCAUCCGGAUUCGCAGAAAAUUCUCCUUCAAAUCGAGGAACGCAUCUUGGAGUAUCGUGAUGAAAGUCAGAGACUGGAUCAAUGUAGUCGUCUCUACGAUUCUUCAGUUUCUAACGAUGGAUUUGAGUUUGAUGCAAGUCGAAUUGUUCAGGAACUUGGGGGAAUUAGUGCGUCUACUGAACAUCAAAAAGUAAUGCUUCAAGAACUGAUGGCUGCUGCAAAAGAGAUGCUUUGGAAUACAGAAGUUGCUAUUCGCUCUUUCAUGAUGAUACGUCCAAGGUUCCUUCAUCAGAGUGCAGGAGGUGCUUCAAAUCCCACUGCUCCGUCACAGGUUCCUGGAGCAACAACGCCAUUAGGAUCUAGUGGUCAACCAACAUCUACCUCGAUUGCUCCAGUUUUUGAUUUCUACAGUGGGCUCCCAAGAAAACCAUCUCCCUUUUUGCAGCAAACUGUUUCAAGAUUUGAGAAGUAUCUUGCUGAAUGUCGCCAGUGGAUUGAAGACUUAGAGCAGCUCCUUGUUCUAGAUUCUAAUAGGAGUGCUUCCAAUUCUAGUUCCUCACUGUUCCAAUCACUACCUAAAAUCAUGUCAAAUGUGCACGAAUUCUUUGUUCAUGUGGCUUCCAAGGUUGAGAGCAUUCAUCAGUACAUUGAAUCAAUGAAGUCAGCUUAUCUUGCCGACCAGCGUCGCAGAGGGGAUGGAAACAAUCCGUUUCUUGAGGCUGAUCGAAGGGAAACUGCACGCCAAGAAGCGGCAGCUAAGAGGGCACAUCCAACUUUACAUUUGCCCACAAAUUCACAACCAUCAACUCAAGCUACUGGAUUACUUGCCAACUCAGGUAACCACGGUGCAUCAACAGUACAACAAUCAUCUACAGUAGCUACACCAGCUUCUUCUGGGGGUGGAUUAUCACUUUUUAGCACUCCCUCUGCUCCAUCCACUACAACAUCUUCUCUUUUCAUGACACCAACAGCAUCUGUUCAAACAUCCUCUCUCUUUGGUUCUUCCAGUGUGGCAGCUCCCUCAACCCUUUUUGGCUCGUCAUCUGCACCAUUGUUUAGUUCUGCUAGUACUCCCUUUGGCAGUACUGCUCCAUCUUUUGGGCAAUCUGCUUCUGCAGGAAGUUCAUUAUUUUCGACACCCUUUGCUUCAGGAAUAAGUUAAAUGAUUUGACAUGGUUUCAAUCUCUGAUGAGAAGACAUUAUUACUACCAAGAACAUGACUGAUUUGAGUUUUUGAUUGACCUGACGUAGAAGGAAUAUAACUCUUACUGGAUGUUAAUUGGCGCUGCAACAGGAUCUGGGGCUAGCUUUGGGGCAACUUCGAAAUCGUCAAAGCCAAAGUCCCGAACUGCACGGCGCUACUAAUCACAAGUGACCAUGUAAGACUAUUACCAGCCACAUUUAAUAACUGAUGAAAAAAGUAGCCAAAGAUUAUGAGAAACAUCAGUACAUCUUCGAGGAGAGGCCAUCAGAUGAUUUACUGGCAGUGAAAAGCCUAGAGGUAUCGGAAUCUUUCUAGUAAGAAAAUUGGAAGGCUUUUCUCAAAACGUCCACCAUUGCUCGUUGCUUUCUGAAAGAGAUCGGAAGGCGACCUGAGAAUUUUCUGUAACUCUGUAGAAUACAGCAUAGAUGCGAUCAAUUCUUAUGAAAACUCAAAGAACAAGACUUGUUUUUUCUUGUGAUGCAAUUGAUUCGAGGGAUGCUAACGCAAUAUAUCUUCCUAAUCUCACGCCAUUCUUGGCAUUUUUAGUGGCCUGCUGUACAGAAUACUUGACUUGCGGUUUCAGGAAACAAGAAUAUGCCCAAGUGGAAUUCUCUUACAUUCCAAAGAUGGAGUAUCUAUCGAAUAUUCUUCUUGGACCGACCUCUGGCUGUGGCUGCUUCACAGCGGCCGUCAGGAUUGACAAGUUAUACCUCUUAGUUGGUUUAUAUAUCAACGUAUCUCUACAGCAUGUUUUAACUUUAUUUACUUCAAUUACUCACAUAUGCAUUACUUGUGUAAUUUGUGUACUGAAAUUACUAGUAGUGAGUUUUCGACCCUUUUUCACUCUAUUUAUAUUUUCAUUUGGUGUCAUGUUUCCAUUGAAAUGCCAUUUUGUAAUUCAUCUGUAAGGUAUUUGGGUGAUUUUCAUCCCUGUGAUUUGACCCUGCCACAUUUACGGGGAUUUCUAUUUCUAGUC
This is an RNA transcript of Cucumis sativus (cucumber), 2641 nucleotides long. RefSeq lists it as hypothetical. Lineage: Eukaryota; Viridiplantae; Streptophyta; Magnoliopsida; Cucurbitales; Cucurbitaceae. The transcript has 7 exons. The record is from RefSeq and is a predicted model, not a curated record.